AACCUGUGAUCACCACUUGAACCUCUAUGUGAAGGCAAAACAAGAGAGAAUCUAUAGGGCAUCUUAUAAGGCCUGAAUCAACUUACUAACUAAGGUUUACAAAAUAGGGAGUAAAAUAUCAGUUUAUAUCUUUUACAACAUGGUGACUACACCUGCUGGUAACUAUAGUUUUUUAUAUGAUUCAAAAUCAAUUCACUGAUUUAACUAUUCCUUCUUAAUUUGUGUAUAUGUGUAGAAUGGAGAGAGUGAGAUUUGGGUGAGGAAGUUAAUUUUCUAACUUUUCAUAAUAUACUAAACUCUUAAGUGUAUAUAAAUAGAGAUAGCAUUGUAUAGAUUAUUUUUAAUCAUUUAUUUAUACGCAUAUUUUUUCUACUGUACAGCAUGGUGAUUCAGUUACACACACAUAUAUACAUUCUUUUUUCUCACAUUACAUCUUCCAUCAUAAGUGACUAGACAGAAUUGCCAGUGCUACACAGCAAGAUCCCUAUUGCCUUUGAAAUGGAUUAGCAAUGAGAUCCUGCUGUGGAACACAGAACUAUGAUUACUUACUUAUGACAGAGCAUGAUAAUGGGAGAAAAGUUAUGUAUACAUGUAUGUGUAACUGGGUCCCCAUGCUAUACAGUGGGAAAAAAAUUGUGUUGGGGAAAUAACAAUAAAAAAGUAAAUAAACUAUCCAAUUUUUUACUAAAAGAAAAAUAAAUAUACAAUGUGAUGAUUUGAUACAUGUAUAUAAAAGGCCCACUCUUUUAUUUUUCAUUUUGUGUAUGUGUGUGUGUGUAUUUUAGGGCCACACACAUGGCAAAUGGAGUUUCCCAGGCUACAGGUCUAAUCGGAGCUACAGCUGCCUGCCUAUGCCACAGUCACAGCAACGCCAUAUCUGAGCCUCAUCUGUGACCUACACCACAGCUCAUGGCAAUGCUGGAUCUUUAACCCACUGAGCAAGGCCAGGGAUCAAACCUUCAACUUUGUGGUUCCUAAUCGGAUUGGUUUCCAUUACACCAGAUGGGAACUCUGGCCCACUCUCUUAAAAAACUGGGAAAAUGGUUUAGAAUAUAUUUUCUUUUUUUUUUUUUUUCUUAUUAGAGUUGCACCCACCACAUAUGGAGGUUCCCAAGCUAGAGGUCCAGUCGGAGCUACAGUUGCCGGCCUCGACAGGAACAACUAGAGUAUAUUUCGAACAAUGAUUUCAGAGAAAAAUUUGAGAAGGGACAUAAAAAAAUCUUUUGACCCAUUCCAUUUUAAUAUCAUAAUGAGAAGUCUUACCAUAGCAAUAGAGAAAAUAUUAUUGACUAGAAAGAAAUUCCAGAGAAAUAUUUAAUUAUUGUGAGAAUUUAAUAUGUUAAAAGGCCUCAUAUAUUUCCAAUGGAAGAAAUGGUAAAUAACAUUGAUAUAUUGAGCCACCCCUGUAAAUAUCCAUUCUAAGCCUAUACAAUACAACAAAAACAAAUGCAAAAUAUCUAGAAGAUUGGAAAGAUUCAGAAGUAAAGAUUAACUAUUCAAGCAUUAAAAAAUACAGGUAUGUGUAUUAAGACAUGAAAUCCAAAUGAUAUUAAAGGGAAAUUAAUAUAUCUGAUUUUAUAAGAUAAAAAUUCUUUGCUGAUUAAAGUUGAAAUAAAAUCAAGAUACAAAGAGAAUCCUGGGAAAUACUUAAGUAAAAUAAAGAAGUAACUAUGUUUCCUAUGCAGAAGAAUACGUAAAAAUUGAUAAGAAAAAUACAGCUAACUCAGUUUAAAGAAAUAUUCAAAUGAUAUUAACAGAUAAUUCAAAGACAGGAAAAGCAUAUGGAGAAUAAAUAUAUAAAAUGAUGUUAAAAUUAUUAAUAGAGGAGUUUCCCCUGUGGCCCAAUGUGUUAAGGACCCGACAGUGUCUCUGUGAAGAUGUGGGUUUGAUACCUGGCUUCACUCAGUGGAUCAAGGAUCCAGUGUUGCCACAAGCUGCAGUGUAGGUUGAAAAUGCAGCUUGGAUCUGGUGUUGCUGUGGUUGUGGCAUAGGCCUCAGCUGCAGCUGUAAUUCAAUCCCUAGCCUAUGAAAUUCCAUUUACUGCAGGUGCAGCCAUAAAAAAGUUAUUAAUAGAGAAAUAUAAAUGGAAAUAACAAUGACCUAUCAUUUCACCCAUCACAUUGGUAAAAACUAAACUUUUAAUAACAUUUAAUGCAUUUUUGGGGAUGGAUAAAAUUGAUACCCUCACAUUUUUUUGGUGGAACAGUGAAUUGCUUAUGAAUAAUAAUUUUGGAAGUUAAGAUCACCAUAUCUAAUACAAAUUAAAAUUAAACUAUGUGUAUAAUUUUACCCAGUAAUCACUAACUUUUCUACAUAAACAAAAGUACCAAUAUAUUAGCAUAAAUGUAUCAAAUAUUUUUAAAGUUUUUAUUGCAGUGGCAAAAAUCAAGAAGUGUUUGCUUAGUAAUAAUAUAAGGGAAUGCUUAAACAAAUAAUAUUUAUUCUGUUAUGCAAGAUUUAAGAAGAAUGAGUAAUUCUACAUGUAUUGACAUGCUAGAAUAUCCACACAUGUAAUGUAAGCAAGUAAUGUAAUGUAGGUAAUAUAAGCAAGUUCUGAGGAAUGUGUAUUGUAUGAUACUCAAGUGUAUUAGGUAAGUUAUGCUGUAUACAGAGACUAACAUGCAGGCACACAUGCACACACACCAAGUAAAGCUACAUUCAGCUUCAGAUUUAAUUAGUAAAAGAUAAAGAAUCAAUACAUUGAGGGAGCGGGGAUGGUAUCCUUCUGCACAUAUUUCCUUGGCCCUAAGGUCAUGAGCUGAGAGAUUGGAGAGGCUCAAUUAUUGCUACACCUGCACUCCUGUUCUUUUUUACUCAACAUAUAAAUCAUCAGUUGGGAAAAAUUUAGAUUGUUAGUCUCUGUCAUGCUAUGUAUUGGGAUGUUACAAAUAUUAGACUUUUCUGUCUUAGGAAGCAGACUCAAUUGUCAGCGGGGCUUCAUUCCCAUAUGAGGGAAGAAGGGAGAGUCAGAUGCUGCCUAUCCAUGAACAGUACAUCUGCCUCCAUCCGAAAACAGUGUCCUGGGAUUUCCAUUUAUCAUCAACCUUCGCCAGAUUCUGAUCCAAUACUUUUCAGUCUUCUUGGUUCUAAAAUAGAGCUAGAAUACAAGUAAAAUUUUUCUUGGUUGAAAUAUCAUUUUUAGAUUGAAUCCCUUCAGCCUAAAUCAAUCUGUUCUUUAAACUUUCAUGAUAUCAGGUAUUUUGCUCUCUUCUGAAGGUAACAAAGGUGAUAUGUUUCUACAUCUGAAACCUGUCACAAGGCAGAGCUCAAUUUAACCAAAAAUUGUAUAUACUUAUGUAAUCAGAGAAAAGCUGUCAUCUAGCUGGUACUUGUCUAGAAACUACUGUACUUUGACAGAAGUGUCUAGAAUAUACUAUAGAACUAGGGUUUUUUUGGUUUUUUUUUUCCGUUCACUUGGUAAAUUAAUGAUAGUUGUCCUCCACUAUUUCUACUCUGCACUUUCCUUGACCCUUCUCCCUUUUUUAAAAAAAUUAAAAUAUUCUAGAAUUACUGGAAUAGUAGUCCCCAAACUUCUUUAUCCAUCUGAUCUAGAAAUACAAUUAUUUAGUUUAAGAUUCCGUUUUGAUUGAUUCUUAUUAACUUCAGGGGCACAGAGUUAAGUGAAUAAGCCUCGGGUCACGAGACACAGGCAUCACUGGCCCCUGUAUGACCCAUUUUAUUCUAAUUAAUUAUUUAAUUAUCAGAUACAAAAAUCUAAUUAUGAAUACUUUCAGUGUGUACUUCUACAGUAAAGCAAUAUGCAGAAAUUGUGGCUGGCUAGGAUAAACUAAUAGUUUUCCAGUCUGAAAUGCAAGCUUUGACAUCUGGUUAGUAUCUUUUAAUUAGGAGGAAAUAAAAAGGUCCACCCAGGUACAAAGUAUAUUAAUUUGCCAUCAAGGAUGGAUUGUCAAAUCUCAUUAAGCACAUGGGGUUUUGGUUUGGCCCUGUGUUGCUCUGUGACACAGAAGAUGAGCCCAAGUGACUACAGCUAAUAGAGGUUUAUUUUUCCCUCCAAUGGCACCGCAUGUGUUUGGCGCAGAGAAGGUCUUACCCUGUAUUCAUAGAGGUGAGUGCUAGCCAAUGACUUCGGACACUGCUCUAGAUAAUUACAAGCAGUUUGCUUGGGUUUUUAUUUUACACAGCAAUUAUUAGGGACUGAUAACAUUAUGUUUCACAAUUAACCUAAAGAGAAAUUGUAGGUUUUAGCUCUGAAAGACCUUGAUAGAAAGCUGAUCUGUUUCGAAGGAGGGAAAUUAAGGACAUAUUUCACUAGUUGAUAUCUGGCAGUAGAUUAAUGACUGACAUUUUCAAGACUCUAUAUUGAAGAAUUUAAAUAAACAUUUGUUAACUUGAUGCAUUAGAGUCAAUGUGCUCUUGUCACUAUCGUUGUAAAGGGAAGUGAUUCAGAGAAAAAAAUACAGGAAGGCACGUUAGACACAUGAAACGGUCGUAUAGUACUCCAGAAACACUAUUUUUUUUUAAGCGUAUCAUCCUUCAGAAUAGAAUUCUUAAACAAUGUGAUGUUCAGGUUUGUGCACCUUGAGAAGAAAGUAAGAUCCUCUAAUUUGUGAACAAAGUAAAUAAGCCUUUUUUCCAAGUGCUUGAGACUUUCACUAAACUUACAAUGAAUGAGUUAAUUCAAUGGUCUAUACUAAAGUGUAUCACAAACAGAAUGAAUGUAAUAUAAUGUAAAUGCAGAAUU
RNAcentral lists this long non-coding RNA (4702 nucleotides) under Sus scrofa (pig). Its description in RNAcentral is "lncRNA (ENSSSCG00055004968.1)". The record is from RNAcentral. Lineage: Eukaryota; Metazoa; Chordata; Mammalia; Artiodactyla; Suidae.